UCCAGGCAUGGGCGAUGUAUGCCUUUAAUCCUAGUUACUUGAGAGGCUGGGCCUGGAGGAUCUCUUGAAUUUGGGAGUUAUGAGCUCCAGUCAGCUAUGCAGAUCAGAUGCCUAUACUAAAUUUGGCAUCAAUAUUAUAAGGGAGCAGCAGGCCACCAAGUUGUCUAAGGAGGAGUGAGUUGAUCCAUACCAGAAAUGGUGCAGGUUAAGGCUCCCUGCUAAUCAGUAGUGGGAUCGAGACUUUUAGUAGGUCCUGCAUUUCCACUCUAGAUAAGAUGGGUAGACCCAGAGACA
Molecule: signal recognition particle RNA, 294 nt
Filed under: Phascolarctos cinereus (koala)
Lineage: Eukaryota; Metazoa; Chordata; Mammalia; Diprotodontia; Phascolarctidae
Description: Metazoan signal recognition particle RNA (ENSPCIG00000025849.2)
Rfam family: Metazoan signal recognition particle RNA
About the family: The signal recognition particle (SRP) is a universally conserved ribonucleoprotein. It is involved in the co-translational targeting of proteins to membranes.
Source: RNAcentral